This 301-nucleotide ribosomal RNA is filed under the name uncultured bacterium. RNAcentral describes it as "partial 16S ribosomal RNA". It matches the Rfam family "Bacterial small subunit ribosomal RNA", at positions 509 to 808 of the family's 1533-position model. The record is from RNAcentral.
CAGCAGCCGCGGUAAUACAGAGGGUGCGAGCGUUAAUCGGAUUUACUGGGCGUAAAGCGUGCGUAGGCGGCUUCUUAAGUCGGAUGUGAAAUCCCUGAGCUUAACUUAGGAAUUGCAUUCGAUACUGGGAAGCUAGAGUAUGGGAGAGGAUGGUAGAAUUCCAGGUGUAGCGGUGAAAUGCGUAGAGAUCUGGAGGAAUACCGAUGGCGAAGGCAGCCAUCUGGCCUAAUACUGACGCUGAGGUACGAAAGCAUGGGGAGCAAACAGGAUUAGAUACCCCAUAGUCCCUGUCUCUUAUACA